GAGAGCAGGCCUCGCCUAGCGCCUUAUUCAUUAAAAACACUUUCUCUCUCUCUUUUCCUUCCUCUCUUCUUUUCGUUGAUUCUCAUGAUAAUUUUCUUGAUCAAAUGAUUGAACUGAUGUGUUUUCUGAUAUGGGUUUUGAUGAUUCAUUCUGGGUUCUGUUUAAUUUUGUGAAAUUUGACAGAGAACUUGCCGAUUUCUACUCUUUUCAUAGUUAGGGUUUAACUAGUCUGUGAUUUCAUCAUAUUUUUGUAUAGGAAAAUCUUAACAGUAUAUGUUGUAUUGGAGUUGUAUGCAGGUUGAGAAGGGAUAAUGCGCUGGGGAAAAAUGUCCUUCGAUUUCAGCUAAGUGUGUUGGGCUAAGAGGCCAGCAUCUUGAUGAAUGCCAUGGGAGAAAAGCAUUGUCAUUUUCAUCAAUGUUAGUACUGCAACUGGAUUGUGUACUGCAGUCAAUAAAGCUCAAGGUCCAACAACAAAUUGUGUUUACUCAAGAGGAGGCCUCUAAAUGAACGCCAGGGGAGAAAAGCAUCUUCAUCUCUCUGUCAAUGUUACGGACGCUCAGUAACAUGACUGGAUUUUUUGUGGUGACUAAUGACAAAUUUGCUGCCUUCAGAAUGAACUUAUUAAGUUUGUCUCCGGUCUAUUCAGAAUUUCAGCUCUCUACUAAAUUUCUUUAGAAACACCAACAACAGGAGGGGAAAGGAAAAGGGUUAGUGAUCAACAGAAAAUGGAGCAAAUCAAGCCAACAAUACCACAUGUGGUCAUCUUUCCCUACCCAGCACAGGGUCACAUGAAUUCCAUGCUCAAAUUAGCUGAGCUUCUCUGCCUAUCAGGCAUCCAUGUAACCUUCAUCAAUACUGAGUUCAAUCAAUCUCGUCUCCUCCGCUGCACAGAUGCCAAAUCUCGCUUUGGCUGUUUCCCGGGGUUCCGUUUCGAAACCAUCUCUGACGGUCUUCCUGAUGAUCACCCUCGCGAAGUUGGUUUCCUGAAGCUCAACGACAUGUUUGGUCCCCUCAAAACUGUUAUUGAACCUGCUUUCCGUGAAAUGCUUAUUUCGGGUCGCCUGAAAUCUGACGUCAGAGGUCAAGUUACUUGUAUUAUUGCUGAUGGAAUUUUAGGCUUCACCAUAGAUGUUGCUGAAGAAUUAAAGAUACUCUCCAUCUGUUUCCGCACUGUUAGUGCUUGCUGCGUGUGGAUUUAUUUCUGUUUGCCAAAACUUGUCGAAAAUAACGACUUCCCAUUCACAGAUGAAGAGCUUGAUCGGAUUGUAACAAGCGUGCCAGAAAUGGAAGGAUUUCUACGAUGUAGAGAUCUGCCUAGUUUCUGCAGAACUAAUGAGCUCGAUGAUCCUGCUUUGGAGUUUGUCAAGACUGAAACUUUCAAUUCAACUAGAUCCACAGCUCAAAUACUCAACACAUUCGAUGACAUCGAAGCACCUAUUAUCUCACAGCUGAGAUCUUACUGGCCAAAUCUCUAUACAAUUGGACCUCUCCAUGCUUUAUUGAAAACUGUCAGAGGAGAUUCUUCAUCUGCAAAAGUAUCUUCAAAUGGGCUAUGGCAGGAGGACAGAAGUUGCAUGAGUUGGCUCGAUCUGCAACCUCCAAAGUCCGUUGUGUACGUAAGUUUUGGUAGUCUAACGAUGGUAAGUCGAGAGCAGUGGUUGGAGUUUUGGUAUGGGCUAAUCAAUAGCGGAAAGAGGUUUUUGUGGGUUCGACGACCAGAUUCCUUUGUUCAAAAUGAAGAAGACAGUCGGAUACCAGUCGAGCUGACAGAAGGUACUAAACAGAGAGGUUACAUGGUCGAAUGGGCACCGCAGGAGGAAGUACUGCUCCACCCUGCUGUCGGCGGAUUUCUGACACACAGUGGAUGGAAUUCAACACUGGAGAGUAUGGUUGCAGGAGUUCCUAUGAUAUGCUGGCCACAUUUUGCUGACCAGCCGAUUAAUAGCAGGUAUGUUAGUGAGGUGUGGAAGAUUGGAAUGGACAUGAAAGAUACAUGUAGUAGAACGAUUGUGGAGAAGCUAGUUAGGGAUAUGAUGGAUGAUAAGAAAGAAGAGUUGAUGGCCAUCACUGGUAAGGUGUCGAAGCAGGCAAGGAGGAGCAUUGCUGAAGGUGGAUCCUCUUAUUGCAACUUUGCAGCAUUACUGGAAUUCUUAAGAACAACCGCAAAUGUGGCAAACCAAAAUUAGAGUCAAAAUGCAGUCCCCGGCAUUUAUCUCUGGUAUUCGCUAAUUAAGACCCAUCAUUUUUGUCCGUGUCUAUGUUUCUUGUUAUUUUGGUAGCAAGUGGCAUGUGAUCAUAAAGCUAAGAAUCCAUAUUUUAGUGGGAAGCGAAUGAUUCCAUUUCCGUGAUUAAAUCCAACGAUAAUUAAACUUUUAUUCAAUGAAAAAAGUUAUCAAAGAUCCUAAAGGAAGUUCUUUAAAUUCUUUAAGCAACAUGAUAAGGUUGUAUGAAGAGUAAAUUUGUACCCGUAAGAGCUUCAAUCCAAAGAUGCUUACCAGCAGUCCAGGCACAAGGUAAUAAGAUUUUCUCUUCACUCCAGUUGCAAAAUUCCAUGUCUUCAUAAUCCUCGAAUUGCACUAUGGUUGGGUUGGUUAAAUAUACCAAGGCUUCAUAAUCCGAUAUACGAUUCAAUACACCAAAGCGUCCAUCAUAUUCCAUCAACUGAACUGUAGGUAAUGGACCUCCUUUCUUCUGUAAUAAAGACAUUGACCAAUACUUGAAAUCUUCACUCUGAAAAUUAAAUUC
This is an RNA transcript of Papaver somniferum (opium poppy), 2745 nucleotides long. It is a transcript of the gene named 7-deoxyloganetic acid glucosyltransferase-like, with no coding region annotated. NCBI's taxonomy places the organism in Eukaryota, Viridiplantae, Streptophyta, Magnoliopsida, Ranunculales, Papaveraceae. The record is from RefSeq and is a predicted model, not a curated record. The transcript has 5 exons.